GUGGCGUUCUCCUAUGACGUUGGGUUGGGCCUUUGGGGGUCGUUUUCUCUUUUAGUUCACUAGUUGCCUGGGAGGAAUAAGCAAGCAUGAAAAAUGAUUAAUCCAGUCCUAGUUUCAACAUGUUUGAAGAAACAAGCGUCAUAUAAGGAUUGCCGAAGGAACUGGAAAAGGUGCAAUUGAAAGAAGUGCCAAAGACUGAAGGCGAUGCUGCGGUUCAGGCCGAAACUAGAGAGGUAGGAAUGUUGGAUGGUUUAGGGAGUUUCGAAUCAAAUGAAGGGUCGAGUGCCAACAAGAGGAAGAGAGAGGAGGAACCAGAUGCAAAGGGAGUUCUCGAGGUUUCACCUUCGAGAAGACUCUCAGACAGUGAUGAUGGAGAUUUCCCCUGAUAGGGAAAACAUUGAUACCCAAUAUGCUUUAACUACUGUCGCUAUAGGUGGAAGAGACCCUGAUUUUACCGAGGUUCAAUAACACUGAAAUGUGAAUGUAACCCAAACUGAGGACACCGGAAUACUGGGAAACUUUACAGGCCGCCAAGAAGAUGCUGAUGUGAGGGAGAACGAAAAUCUUGAAGCUGUGGCCUGUGGGUGAGCACGAUUGUCUGUCACCAGUGAUGAAUAGAGAGAGAGAGAUGCCUUACUCAAAGAAAGCCGAACAAAAGCUCUCAACAUUGCAUUAGAAAGCUUGCGGAAGGUUAAAGUAAGCAGUAUAACCCCAUCUGCAUCUGCUCCUUAUUUUUCACUGUUACAGAAGGGGGGGAUUGAUCUUCAAAUGAAAUUUCAUUUAUGAUCUAACUACUACAAAAAUAAUUAGUCUCCGUAGUUUGGAGGAUGAGAUCAAAACCAUCCUCUCCUAAAACCAACAGUUUUUUUCAAAACAGAGCGACUUGAUAAAAAUGUUCUCAACGCAAAAAAGAAUAUCCUUCCACCAGCUUGACAAACCAUUCCAGCAAUCCUACGUUUACUUGUUCCCCUUAACAACAGGUUUUCCAACAUUCUAUGCCUUGGCAGGCUCCACAGCAGCAGGAGCAGGAGCAACACCACCAGUAGUUGGCCUGGAAGAUUGCAGAAAAAACAUUAGCAUAAACCACAAAAGCAUGUAUAUUAACCGAGUCUAGUGCUGGGAAGAACUUACAGCCCCACAAACACUUUGAAAGCAUCAUAGAUACCCCACUGAGCUCCAGUUAGAGUUCCAAUCAUCACAAUACGGAGGGGAAGACCACGGGUAAACAGACCCCAUAAUCCAAGCUUCUUCACAGCCUACAUUGCCAAGAGAUAGUAGAAGGGUCAAGGCAAAGUUAAACACUGCUUCAUAAAUGAGAAUUAAAUAUCAAGCGGAUCAUCCAAGGCACAGAACUUACAUCCCCAACAGUUGCUCCUUUGGCAUUGUUAAGGAAGGAGACAAGGUUGUCAGCAGGAUGCGAAACAAUAGCACAGAAGACACCAGCAACAUAACCACCAGCAAAACUAACACCAAGCUGCAGAUUUUUGCUGCACUGCUCCUUGGGAGUGGGAAUACCAUACUUGUAGAUCAUCUCAACAAUAGUUUCAAAAGAAGCAAAUUUCAUCAUGGUAUCUGAAACAAAGAAAGAUCAAAUAAAUACUCUUACACUUCGCUGCA
Long non-coding RNA from Gossypium raimondii (Peruvian cotton), 1617 nucleotides. RefSeq lists it as uncharacterized. The record is from RefSeq and is a predicted model, not a curated record. NCBI's taxonomy places the organism in Eukaryota, Viridiplantae, Streptophyta, Magnoliopsida, Malvales, Malvaceae. The transcript is spliced from 2 exons.